Molecule: non-coding RNA, 410 nt
Organism: Pelobates cultripes (western spadefoot toad)
Lineage: Eukaryota; Metazoa; Chordata; Amphibia; Anura; Pelobatidae
Source: the annotation of a GenBank genome assembly
CUGGAAUCUUCUUCAGUUCUAAUUCGUCUCUCCGAAGUUGGUGAAUAAAUACCUCCUGAUAUCAGUAAGAUUCGGGACACCUGAUUUCUGGGUAUGAUGAUGUAUCCGGCGGGACGUACCAUGUCAUCAUUCUGUGUCCCGUAAAUAGUUCAGGGGUUAGGGUUCUUGUUACAAUAUUUCUAAUAUUGCAAGUUUAAUUCCCACAAAAGUUAAUUCAGCCUUUUAUCAUGUACAAGCUCAAUAAAGUGAGUACUAUUUAAUGGGGUAAUAAUUACAUGGAGACGAUAGAACAGUUAUAGAAACUUGUGACAAUGUAAAUGUGCCUAUCCAGGUUAAAUGCCUUGAUAUAAUAAACAAAGAGUACAACUUUAAGAGCAGGGGUGCCAACACUUAUCUGAGUGGUUAGCAGG